Molecule: ribosomal RNA, 465 nt
Filed under: uncultured bacterium
Lineage: Bacteria
Description: partial 16S ribosomal RNA
Rfam family: Bacterial small subunit ribosomal RNA
Source: RNAcentral
CCUACGGGAGGCUGCAGUGGGGGAUAUUGCACAAUGGGGGGAACCCUGAUGCAGCGACGCCGCGUGAGUGAAGAAGGGUUUCGGCUCGUAAAGCUCUGUUGGUAGUGAAGAAAGAUAGAGGUAGUAACUGGCCUUUAUUUGACGGUAAUUACUUAGAAAGUCACGGCUAACUACGUGCCAGCAGCCGCGGUAAUACGUAGGUGGCAAGCGUUGUCCGGAUUUAUUGGGCGUAAAGCGAGUGCAGGCGGUUCAAUAAGUCUGAUGUGAAAGCCUUCGGCUCAACCGGAGAAUUGCAUCAGAAACUGGUGAACUUGAGUGCAGAAGAGGAGAGUGGAAUUCCAUGUGUAGCGGUGGAAUGCGUAGAUAUAUGGAAGAACACCAGUGGCGAAGGCGGCUAUCUGGUCUGCAACUGACGCUGAGGCUCGAAAGCAUGGGUAGCGAACAGGAUUAGAUACCCCAGUAGUC